This 2930-nucleotide ribosomal RNA is filed under the name Enterobacter bugandensis. Its description in RNAcentral is "bacterial LSU rRNA". It matches the Rfam family "Bacterial large subunit ribosomal RNA". The record is from RNAcentral. Lineage: Bacteria; Pseudomonadati; Pseudomonadota; Gammaproteobacteria; Enterobacterales; Enterobacteriaceae.
GGGUUGUGAGGUUAAGCGACUAAGCGUACACGGUGGAUGCCCUGGCAGUCAGAGGCGAUGAAGGACGUGCUAAUCUGCGAAAAGCGACGGCGAGGUGAUAUGAACCUUUGACCCGUCGAUGUCCGAAUGGGGAAACCCAGUGUGAUUCGUCACACUAUCGUUAACUGAAUACAUAGGUUAACGAGGCGAACCGGGGGAACUGAAACAUCUAAGUACCCCGAGGAAAAGAAAUCAACCGAGAUUCCCCCAGUAGCGGCGAGCGAACGGGGAGCAGCCCGGAGUCUGAAUCAGCUUGUGUGUUAGUGGAAGCGUCUGGAAAGUCGCACGGUACAGGGUGACAGUCCCGUACACGAAAAUGCACAGGUUGUGAACUCGAAGAGUAGGGCGGGACACGUGGUAUCCUGUCUGAAUAUGGGGGGACCAUCCUCCAAGGCUAAAUACUCCUGACUGACCGAUAGUGAACCAGUACCGUGAGGGAAAGGCGAAAAGAACCCCGGCGAGGGGAGUGAAAAAGAACCUGAAACCGUGUACGUACAAGCAGUGGGAGCACCUUCGUGGUGUGACUGCGUACCUUUUGUAUAAUGGGUCAGCGACUUAUAUUCUGUAGCAAGGUUAACCGUAUAGGGGAGCCGCAGGGAAACCGAGUCUUAACUGGGCGUUAAGUUGCAGGGUAUAGACCCGAAACCCGGUGAUCUAGCCAUGGGCAGGUUGAAGGUUGGGUAACACUAACUGGAGGACCGAACCGACUAAUGUUGAAAAAUUAGCGGAUGACCUGUGGCUGGGGGUGAAAGGCCAAUCAAACCGGGAGAUAGCUGGUUCUCCCCGAAAGCUAUUUAGGUAGCGCCUCGUGAAUUCAUCUUCGGGGGUAGAGCACUGUUUCGGCUAGGGGGCCAUCCCGGCUUACCAACCCGAUGCAAACUACGAAUACCGAAGAAUGUUAUCACGGGAGACACACGGCGGGUGCUAACGUCCGUCGUGAAGAGGGAAACAACCCAGACCGCCAGCUAAGGUCCCAAAGUCAUGGUUAAGUGGGAAACGAUGUGGGAAGGCACAGACAGCCAGGAUGUUGGCUUAGAAGCAGCCAUCAUUUAAAGAAAGCGUAAUAGCUCACUGGUCGAGUCGGCCUGCGCGGAAGAUGUAACGGGGCUAAACCAUGCACCGAAGCUGCGGCAGCGACACUAUGUGUUGUUGGGUAGGGGAGCGUUCUGUAAGCCGUCGAAGGUGGCCUGUGAGGGUUGCUGGAGGUAUCAGAAGUGCGAAUGCUGACAUAAGUAACGAUAAAGCGGGUGAAAAGCCCGCUCGCCGGAAGACCAAGGGUUCCUGUCCAACGUUAAUCGGGGCAGGGUGAGUCGACCCCUAAGGCGAGGCCGAAAGGCGUAGUCGAUGGGAAACAGGUUAAUAUUCCUGUACUUGGUGUUACUGCGAAGGGGGGACGGAGAAGGCUAUGUCAGCCGGGCGACGGUUGUCCCGGUUUAAGCGUGUAGGUGUGUGUUCCAGGCAAAUCCGGUUCACUUUAACACUGAGGCGUGAUGACGAGGCACUACGGUGCUGAAGUGAUAAAUGCCCUGCUUCCAGGAAAAGCCUCUAAGCAUCAGGUAACACGAAAUCGUACCCCAAACCGACACAGGUGGUCAGGUAGAGAAUACCAAGGCGCUUGAGAGAACUCGGGUGAAGGAACUAGGCAAAAUGGUGCCGUAACUUCGGGAGAAGGCACGCUGAUAUGUAGGUGAAGUCCCUGCGGACGGAGCUGAAAUCAGUCGAAGAUACCAGCUGGCUGCAACUGUUUAUUAAAAACACAGCACUGUGCAAACACGAAAGUGGACGUAUACGGUGUGACGCCUGCCCGGUGCCGGAAGGUUAAUUGAUGGGGUUAGCGGCAACGCGAAGCUCUUGAUCGAAGCCCCGGUAAACGGCGGCCGUAACUAUAACGGUCCUAAGGUAGCGAAAUUCCUUGUCGGGUAAGUUCCGACCUGCACGAAUGGCGUAAUGAUGGCCAGGCUGUCUCCACCCGAGACUCAGUGAAAUUGAACUCGCUGUGAAGAUGCAGUGUACCCGCGGCAAGACGGAAAGACCCCGUGAACCUUUACUAUAGCUUGACACUGAACACUGGUCCUUGAUGUGUAGGAUAGGUGGGAGGCUUUGAAGCGUGGACGCCAGUCUGCGUGGAGCCGUCCUUGAAAUACCACCCUUUAAUGGCUGGUGUUCUAACGUGGACCCGUAAUCCGGGUUGCGGACAGUGUCUGGUGGGUAGUUUGACUGGGGCGGUCUCCUCCCAAAGAGUAACGGAGGAGCACGAAGGUUAGCUAAUCCUGGUCGGACAUCAGGAGGUUAGUGCAAUGGCAUAAGCUAGCUUGACUGCGAGAGUGACGGCUCGAGCAGGUGCGAAAGCAGGUCAUAGUGAUCCGGUGGUUCUGAAUGGAAGGGCCAUCGCUCAACGGAUAAAAGGUACUCCGGGGAUAACAGGCUGAUACCGCCCAAGAGUUCAUAUCGACGGCGGUGUUUGGCACCUCGAUGUCGGCUCAUCACAUCCUGGGGCUGAAGUAGGUCCCAAGGGUAUGGCUGUUCGCCAUUUAAAGUGGUACGCGAGCUGGGUUUAGAACGUCGUGAGACAGUUCGGUCCCUAUCUGCCGUGGGCGCUGGAGAAUUGAGGGGGGCUGCUCCUAGUACGAGAGGACCGGAGUGGACGCAUCACUGGUGUUCGGGUUGUCAUGCCAAUGGCACUGCCCGGUAGCUAAAUGCGGAAGAGAUAAGUGCUGAAAGCAUCUAAGCACGAAACUUGCCCCGAGAUGAGUUCUCCCUGAGACUUUAAGUCUCCUGAAGGAACGUUGAAGACGACGACGUUGAUAGGCCGGGUGUGUAAGCGCAGCGAUGCGUUGAGCUAACCGGUACUAAUGAACCGUGAGGCUUAACCUUACAACGCCGAAGCUGUU